GACAGGUGGUGCAUGGUUGUCGUCAGCUCGUGUCGUGAGAUGUUGGGUUAAGUCCUGCAACGAGCGCAACCCUCGACCUUUAGUUGCCAGCAUUCAGUUGGGCACUCUAAGGUGACUGCCGGCUAAAGUCGAGGAAGGUGGGGAUGACGUCAAAUCAUCAUGCCCCUUAUGACCUGGGCUACACACGUGCUACAAUGGGCGGUACAAAGGGUCGCGAACCCGCGAGGGGGAGCCAAUCCCAAAAAGCCGCUCUCAGUUCGGAUUGCAGGCUGCAACUCGCCUGCAUGAAGCCGGAAUCGCUAGUAAUCGCGGAUCAGCAUGCCGCGGUGAAUACGUUCCCGGGCCUU
Molecule: ribosomal RNA, 347 nt
Filed under: uncultured Anoxybacillus sp.
Lineage: Bacteria; Bacillati; Bacillota; Bacilli; Caryophanales; Anoxybacillaceae
Description: bacterial SSU rRNA
Rfam family: Bacterial small subunit ribosomal RNA
Source: RNAcentral